This 234-nucleotide ribosomal RNA is filed under the name uncultured bacterium. Its description in RNAcentral is "partial 16S ribosomal RNA". It matches the Rfam family "Bacterial small subunit ribosomal RNA", at positions 524 to 755 of the family's 1533-position model. The record is from RNAcentral.
UACGUAGGGUGCGAGCGUUGUCCGGAAUUACUGGGCGUAAAGAGCUCGUAGGUGGUUUGUCGCGUUGUUCGUGAAAACUCACAGCUCAACUGUGGGCGUGCGGGCGAUACGGGCAGACUAGAGUACUGCAGGGGAGACUGGAAUUCCUGGUGUAGCGGUGGAAUGCGCAGAUAUCAGGAGGAACACCGGUGGCGAAGGCGGGUCUCUGGGCAUUAAACUGACGCUGGAGGAGCG